This 1404-nucleotide ribosomal RNA is filed under the name uncultured bacterium. Its description in RNAcentral is "bacterial SSU rRNA". It matches the Rfam family "Bacterial small subunit ribosomal RNA". The record is from RNAcentral.
AGUUUGAUCCUGGCUCAGGACGAACGCUGGCGGCGUGCCUAAUACAUGCAAGUAGAACGCUGAAGAGAGGAGCUUGCUCUUCUUGGAUGAGUUGCGAACGGGUGAGUAACGCGUAGGUAACCUGCCUUGUAGCGGGGGAUAACUAUUGGAAACGAUAGCUAAUACCGCAUAACAAUGGAUGACACAUGUCAUUUAUUUGAAAGGGGCAAUUGCUCCACUACAAGAUGGACCUGCGUUGUAUUAGCUAGUAGGUGAGGUAACGGCUCACCUAGGCGACGAUACAUAGCCGACCUGAGAGGGUGAUCGGCCACACUGGGACUGAGACACGGCCCAGACUCCUACGGGAGGCAGCAGUAGGGAAUCUUCGGCAAUGGGGGCAACCCUGACCGAGCAACGCCGCGUGAGUGAAGAAGGUUUUCGGAUCGUAAAGCUCUGUUGUAAGUCAAGAACGAGUGUGAGAGUGGAAAGUUCACACUGUGACGGUAGCUUAUCAGAAAGGGACGGCUAACUACGUGCCAGCAGCCGCGGUAAUACGUAGGUCCCGAGCGUUGUCCGGAUUUAUUGGGCGUAAAGCGAGCGCAGGCGGUUUGAUAAGUCUGAAGUUAAAGGCUGUGGCUCAACCAUAGUUCGCUUUGGAAACUGUCAAACUUGAGUGCAGAAGGGGAGAGUGGAAUUCCAUGUGUAGCGGUGAAAUGCGUAGAUAUAUGGAGGAACACCGGUGGCGAAAGCGGCUCUCUGGUCUGUAACUGACGCUGAGGCUCGAAAGCGUGGGGAGCGAACAGGAUUAGAUACCCUGGUAGUCCACGCCGUAAACGAUGAGUGCUAGGUGUUGGAUCCUUUCCGGGAUUCAGUGCCGCAGCUAACGCAUUAAGCACUCCGCCUGGGGAGUACGACCGCAAGGUUGAAACUCAAAGGAAUUGACGGGGGCCCGCACAAGCGGUGGAGCAUGUGGUUUAAUUCGAAGCAACGCGAAGAACCUUACCAGGUCUUGACAUCCCGAUGCUAUUUCUAGAGAUAGAAAGUUACUUCGGUACAUCGGUGACAGGUGGUGCAUGGUUGUCGUCAGCUCGUGUCGUGAGAUGUUGGGUUAAGUCCCGCAACGAGCGCAACCCCUAUUGUUAGUUGCCAUCAUUCAGUUGGGCACUCUAGCGAGACUGCCGGUAAUAAACCGGAGGAAGGUGGGGAUGACGUCAAAUCAUCAUGCCCCUUAUGACCUGGGCUACACACGUGCUACAAUGGUUGGUACAACGAGUUGCGAGUCGGUGACGGCAAGCUAAUCUCUUAAAGCCAAUCUCAGUUCGGAUUGUAGGCUGCAACUCGCCUACAUGAAGUCGGAAUCGCUAGUAAUCGCGGAUCAGCACGCCGCGGUGAAUACGUUCCCGGGCCUUGCACACACCGCCCGUC